AUUGAACGCUGGCGGCAGGCCUAACACAUGCAAGUCGAGCGGAUGAAGGGAGCUGGCUCCUGGAUUCAGGGGCGGAGGGGUGAGUAAUGGCUAGGAAUGUGAAUGGUCGUGGGGGAUAAGGUCCGGUAACGGGCGCUAAUACGGAAUACGUCCUGAGGGGGAAAGUGGAGGAUAUUGGGAUCCCACGCUAUUAGAUGAGCCUAGGUCGGAUUAGCUAGGUGGUGGGGUAAGGGCCUACCAAGGCGACGAUCCGUAACUGGUCUGAGAGGAUGAUCAGUCACACUGGAACUGAGACACGGUCCAGACUCCUACGGGGAGCAGCAGUGGGGAAUAUUGGACAAUGGGCGAAAGCCUGCUCCAGCCAUGCCGCGUGGGUGAAGAAGGUCUUCGGAUUGUAAAGCACUUUAAGUUGGGAGGAAGGGCAGUAAGUUAAAACCUUGCUGUUUUGACGUUACCAACAGAAUAAGCACCGGCUAACUUCGUG
This 484-nucleotide ribosomal RNA is filed under the name uncultured bacterium. Its description in RNAcentral is "partial 16S ribosomal RNA". It matches the Rfam family "Bacterial small subunit ribosomal RNA", at positions 30 to 507 of the family's 1533-position model. The record is from RNAcentral.